AACAGGAUUAGAUACCCUGGUAGUCCACGCCCUAAACGAUGUCUACUAGUUGUCGGGUCUUAAUUGACUUGGUAACGCAGCUAACGCGUGAAGUAGACCGCCUGGGGAGUACGGUCGCAAGAUUAAAACUCAAAGGAAUUGACGGGGACCCGCACAAGCGGUGGAUGAUGUGGAUUAAUUCGAUGCAACGCGAAAAACCUUACCUACCCUUGACAUGGCUGGAAUCCCUGAGAGAUUGGGGAGUGCUCGAAAGAGAACCAGUACACAGGUGCUGCAUGGCUGUCGUCAGCUCGUGUCGUGAGAUGUUGGGUUAAGUCCCGCAACGAGCGCAACCCUUGUCAUUAGUUGCUACGAAAGGGCACUCUAAUGAGACUGCCGGUGACAAACCGGAGGAAGGUGGGGAUGACGUCAAGUCCUCAUGGCCCUUAUGGGUAGGGCUUCACACGUCAUACAAUGGUACAUACAGAGCGCCGCCAACCCGCGAGGGGGAGCUAAUCGCAGAAAGUGUAUCGUAGUCCGGAUUGUAGUCUGCAACUCGACUGCAUGAAGUUGGAAUCGCUAGUAAUCGCGGAUCAGCAUGUCGCGGUGAAUACGUUCCCGGGUCUUGUACACACCGCCCGUCACACCAUGGGAGCGGGUUUUACCAGAAGUAGGUAGCUUAACCGCAAGGAGGGCGCUUACCACGGUAGGAUUCGUGACUGGGGUG
This 706-nucleotide ribosomal RNA is filed under the name uncultured Janthinobacterium sp. RNAcentral describes it as "bacterial SSU rRNA". It matches the Rfam family "Bacterial small subunit ribosomal RNA", at positions 771 to 1482 of the family's 1533-position model. Lineage: Bacteria; Pseudomonadati; Pseudomonadota; Betaproteobacteria; Burkholderiales; Oxalobacteraceae. The record is from RNAcentral.